GUUUCCUCCGACACAUUGGUGCUGCUGGCUUCCAGGUUGGACGCGCGCAGUGCAGUUUCGUUGGGUUGUGUAUCAGAGGACGCAUGAUUCUCAACCUUCGUCUCUCCCGAGCGGGAGUUGUAGCGAUGAGACAAGAUAGUAGCAACUAACAAUUGGAUACCUUGAAAUUGGGGAGAAAAAGGGGGUCCGUUUUUUUUUUAUUAACAAAAUGAACUUCAAAUAUCUGUGAGCUGUGACUGUAAGGACAUCUCUCUGGCAAUGCAAAAGGACAAAGGACUGCUUGAAAGAGUCAAGAGCAGCAAAAAAUAUACAUGGGAAAAGUAGACUUGGAGUGGAACAUGACGUAUUAUGAUUCCAAGGCAGAGCUAGACUAUUACUCCCUGCAAGAUGGUGAUGGGGAAACAGUGAGCCCUCCACUACAGGUGGAGUUUCUGUAUGACGCUAACUUCAAAAAUAAGGUCAACUACUCCUUCACAGCCGUUCAGAUCCCCACAGACAUCUACAAAGGAGGAGUGGCAGUGUGAGCGGCCUCACUUUGAAGCUGAUCAAGUCAUCAGUGAUGGAGAUGUUGGACACUCUGUCUGAUGACGACUAUGUCAACGUGGCCAGGUCUUUAUCUCUUGCUGUCUAUCUCGCCUGCUCUCUCACUGUCUUUAUCUCUUGCUCUCUAUCUAGCCUGCUCUCUCAUUGUUGUUCCUCAAUCCCAUUUCUGCUCUGUCAUUCUCUCUCCUUUCUUGUUUCAGUUUAAUGAAAAGGCAGAGGCAGUGGUCCCUUGCUUCAAACACCUGGUCCAGGCCAACGUUCGCAACAAGAAGAUCUUCAAAGAGGCUGUAAAGCUCAUGCAAGCUAAAGGCACCACAGACUACAAGUCUGGUUUCCACUUUGCCUUCAAUCAGCUACUAAACGUGAAUGACUUCAAGCUCAACACUCUGAACGACCGCAUUCUGUACGAGUGAUGCCCAAUUCUUUAGGGCUUCUACUAUUAAAUAGACAAGGACAUUUUCGAAAGAAACUGUGUGUGCUUGCAAUUUUGUGUUUUGAGCAAACACAUGAAGGACAUUUAAUUACAGAUAACAGGCCAACCAGCAGAACAUUUAAGAGUGGCUCUCAAUGACUCCGCGAUGCAUCGUGCAUAAGAACAGCCCUUAGCCGUGGUAUAUUGACCAUAUAUUGCCUUAUUGCUUAAAUAUACUUUACAGUUACAGUAUCAACCUUGCCUUGCUCUAAAUCACCCUGUGCGUUAGUUAACAUAUGUGCACCUGGGGAUAAGAAAAGGCUGAGCAUAUAAUGCCUUUCGAUUGCAAACAGCAGUAACUACACAUUUGGUCAAAAUUUAGACCGAAAUCAGACUCUCUUUUUAUCCCCCUCCAACUCUCUCUCUCUGCUCUCCCUCUAGGUUUCUAUUUUGAGACCAGCUCCAUCUGUGCCAUAAUGAUUAACACUAGUGCCUCUUACACAGCUGAUCCUGGGUCAGCCAGUUCUGCUGGCACAGCUUCCUGGAAUUGUUGUUUACCGGACACUGACUAAUCCAUAUCCUGGCCAUCUGCCCAAGAUUGUUGAACAACUUUCUGGAAGCCCAUUUUCUCUAGAGUAGCUACUAACCACACGUCUUGUCUGGGGAAGAGGUUCCAGUGGGCGAGUUCGUUUUGCGCAGUGGUGGAAAAAGUAAACUACCCAAUUUUUAUACAUGAGUAAAAGUAAAGAUACCUUGAUAGAAAAUGACUCAAGUAAAAAUGAAAGUCACCCAGCAAAAUACUACUUGAGUAAAAGUCUAAAAGUAAUUGGUUUUAAAUAUACUCAAGUAUAAAAAGUAAAUGUAAUUGCUAAAUAUAAAAUGUAUCAAAAGUAAAAGUAAAAGUAUAAAUAAUUUCACAUUCUUUAUAUUAAGUAAACCAGACAGCAUCAUUUUCUUGUUUAUGAAAUUUAUGGAUAGCCAGGCUCACACUCCAACACUCAGACAUCAUUUACAAAAUGAGGCAUUUUUGUUUAGUGAGACCACCAGAUCAGUGGCAGUAGGCAUGACCAGGGAUGUUCUCUUGAUAAAUGUGUGAAUUGGACCAUUUUCCUGUCCUGCUACUUUCGGUUUAGUUUGCUGCUAUUGUUAUUGUUUGCUUGGGACAGCGUUUCCUCUCCUUGUGCGCAGUCGUCCGUGUCACCUCGUGUUUUGUACAGAUGACUCAAAGCAGUCAAUGGAAGAAGGCCAUCUUUGUACAACAUUUGUCAGCUACAUGAUUUUUUUAAAUCUCUAAAUGUUUAUAUAUGAUAUUUGGUGAUUAAAUGCUAUUGAUAUUUUUCUCUUCA
RNA transcript from Oncorhynchus mykiss (rainbow trout), 2301 nucleotides. It is a transcript of the gene named voltage-dependent calcium channel subunit alpha-2/delta-2, with no coding region annotated. The record is from RefSeq and is a predicted model, not a curated record. Lineage: Eukaryota; Metazoa; Chordata; Actinopteri; Salmoniformes; Salmonidae.